UUCCUGGAAGGCAGAAAGAAAGAGAUAAAAAGGAAAAAACAGCAUUUGUCACUUAUAGUGCUCUGGUUAGCACAGUAGCUGGGCCCCUGAACCCUCUACAGGCCUCCCAAGCUGGCACUGAAUAAAAUGUGAGAAAUGAAAGGAACUUUUCCGUGAGUCUGGCAGCGCCGACAGACACUGAGGUGGCAGAGCUGUCUGGUCCCAGUCCACAUGCAGAGGCCUGCAGCUCCUCCUUCCAGCCCGCACCCACCAGAGCUUCUCAGACGGGCCGUGUCCUGAGAAGGUUGUUGCCAAUGUAGAUGUUUGAGAGGCUCACUGAUGAACAAAUCAACAGAGCAGAUUUAAUCUGAAGAGAUCCAAAUAUUGUGCUUCUUUGGACUCAUAGAAAUGGCGAAAGAUUUAACAUCAGGAAGUACUUAAGUCAGCUAAUUUCUAGAGCCUUCUUCCUCCCUGUCACUUGAUUCUAGAUAGGAUCACCAGUUAGACAUCAGAACCAGAUCUUUUUAUCCAGAGAAGUACCAGUUUGUUGUUUUUCCUUCCGAAGCCAAGUCCUCGAGUUUCAGGUAGACUUCAGUUGAUUUCUGCGAGGUCUUUGCUUUCUCUCUGCCAGAAUAAUCACUGCUGAGGAAAGCAAAAAGCCCCGAAGAGCCUGGCUUGGAAUAAAAACAUGCACCAUACAAGAUUUUUAUGAAGAUUAAAUAACUUGGGCUAAAAUAUUCUGGAAGCUGCCAAGGGCUCUACAGAUGAGCUAUACAGAGGCAUUUGCUGAAAACUGGCCUGGAUUGACAAGCGCAAUGCAAACGUGGCUGCGGCAGUUCCAGGCAUCACAUGGUAACAAGAUCACAUCCAGUGAAGAAGGAAUUCUCAUAAGACAGUCAGCAGAUUUUGCAGUCCUGCAAGGUGGAUAUCACUCUCACCUUCAGCGCACAAAGAAAGGAGGUAUACAGAAGACACAGAACUCACCAAAGUCACAGGAACUAGGUGAGGAUGAACCAGGCUGCAUCCAAGCAGCCCAGCUUCAGGGUCUGUAUUCUUUGCCACUACCCAGAACUUUUACCAAUAAGCAAAGCUAUUGUUUGCAAUAACAGGAAGCAAAAAUAGCAAAAAGUUCCCUUUAAGGGGGAGUGUUAUAAUAUACUUAACAAUCAGAAUGGCUGAAGCACUGAUCUGUGAGAGUGGCUACUGGUCAUAGCCUGGAGCUGGUCUUUUAGGUCCUCUUUGGUUACUGGAUCCUGGGAGGAUGGAUGAGGAAGUGGUCUCAGGCAAGGGGUGGAGUUAAGUGGCUGUGGAAGGUACUUUGGAGGCUCAGGCAGCAGCUUUUUUUCCCCUUAAACUUUUGUUUUAAGUUCUAGGGUACACGUGCAGGAUGUGCAGUUUACAUAGGUAAACGUGUGCCGUGGUGGUUUGCUGUACAGAACAAACCAUCACUCAGGUAUUAUUAAGCCCAGCACCCAUUAGCUAUUCUUUCUGAUGCUUUCCCUCUCCCAACUUCCACCCGACAGGCCCCAGUGUGUGUUGUUCCCCUCCCUCUGUUCUCAUUGUUCAGCUCCCACUUAUAAGU
Molecule: long non-coding RNA, 1561 nt
Filed under: Homo sapiens (human)
Lineage: Eukaryota; Metazoa; Chordata; Mammalia; Primates; Hominidae
Description: HSALNT0319777
Source: RNAcentral